AUUGAACGCUGGCGGCAGGCCUAAGACAUGCAAGUCGAGCGAGAAAGCCCUUCGGGGUGAGUACAGCGGCGGACGGGUGAGUAACGCGUAGGAAUCUACCCAGUAGUGGGGGACAACUAGUGGAAACGCUAGCUAAUACCGCAUACGCCCUAAGGGGGAAAGCGGGGGAUCUUCGGACCUCGUGCUAUUGGAUGAGCCUGCGUAAGAUUAGCUUGUUGGUGAGGUAAUGGCUCACCAAGGCUACGAUCUUUAGCUGGUCUGAGAGGAUGAUCAGCCACACCGGGACUGAGACACGGCCCGGACUCCUACGGGAGGCAGCAGUCGGGAAUAUUGCGCAAUGGGGGAAACCCUGACGCAGCCAUGCCGCGUGUGUGAAGAAGGCCCUAGGGUUGUAAAGCACUUUCAAUUGGGAGGAAAAGCUAAUGGUUAAUAGCCAUUAGCCCUGACGUUACCUUUAGAAGAAGCACCGGCUAACUCCGUGCCAGCAGCCGCGGUAAUACGGAGGGUGCAAGCGUUAAUCGGAAUUACUGGGCGUAAAGCGCGCGUAGGCGGCUCUUUAAGUCGGAUGUGAAAGCCCCGGGCUCAACCUGGGAACUGCAUCCGAUACUGGAGGGCUAGAGUGUAGGAGAGGGAGGUAGAAUUCCAUGUGUAGCAGUGAAAUGCGUAGAUAUAUGGAGGAAUACCAGUGGCGAAGGCGGCCUCCUGGCUUAACACUGACGCUGAGGUGCGAAAGCGUGGGGAGCAAACGGGAUUAGAUACCCCGGUAGUCCACGCCGUAAACGAUGUCUACUAGCUGUAGGGGUACUUGAGACCUUUGUAGCGCAGCUAACGCACUAAGUAGACCGCCUGGGGAGUACGGCCGCAAGGUUAAAACUCAAAUGAAUUGACGGGGGCCCGCACAAGCAGUGGAGCAUGUGGUUUAAUUCGAUGCAACGCGAAGAACCUUACCAGGCCUUGACAUCCCCGGAACUUUCUAGAGAUAGAUUGGUGCCUUCGGGAACCGGGUGACAGGUGCUGCAUGGCUGUCGUCAGCUCGUGUCGUGAGAUGUUGGGUUAAGUCCCGUAACGAGCGCAACCCUUGUCCUUAGUUGCCAGCACGUAAUGGUGGGAACUCUAAGGAGACUGCCGGUGACAAACCGGAGGAAGGUGGGGACGACGUCAAGUCAUCAUGGCCCUUACGGCCUGGGCUACACACGUGCUACAAUGGCUAGGACAGACGGCUGCAAACCAGCGAUGGGGAGCUAAUCCGACAAACCUAGUCGUAGUCCGGAUUGGAGUCUGCAACUCGACUCCAUGAAGUCGGAAUUGCUAGUAAUCGCGAAUCAGAAUGUCGCGGUGAAUACGUUCCCGGGCCU
Molecule: ribosomal RNA, 1355 nt
Filed under: uncultured bacterium
Lineage: Bacteria
Description: bacterial SSU rRNA
Rfam family: Bacterial small subunit ribosomal RNA
Source: RNAcentral